RNAcentral lists this ribosomal RNA (467 nucleotides) under uncultured bacterium. Its description in RNAcentral is "partial 16S ribosomal RNA". It matches the Rfam family "Bacterial small subunit ribosomal RNA", at positions 28 to 507 of the family's 1533-position model. The record is from RNAcentral.
GAUGAACGCUGGCGGCGUGCUUAACACAAGCAAGUCGAACGGAAAGGCCCAAGCUUGCUUGGGUACUCGAGUGGCGAACGGGUGAGUAACACGUGGGUGAUCUGCCCUGCACUUCGGGAUAAGCCUGGGAAACUGGGUCUAAUACCGGAUAGGACCACUUCUUGGAUGUUGUGGUGGAAAGUUUUUUCGGUGUGGGAUGAGCUCGCGGCCUAUCAGCUUGUUGGUGGGGUAAUGGCCUACCAAGGCGUCGACGGGUAGCCGGCCUGAGAGGGUGUACGGCCACAUUGGGACUGAGAUACGGCCCAGACUCCUACGGGAGGCAGCAGUGGGGAAUAUUGCACAAUGGGCGCAAGCCUGAUGCAGCGACGCCGCGUGGGGGAUGACGGCCUUCGGGUUGUAAACUCCUUUCGCUAGGGACGAAGCGUUUUGUGACGGUACCUGGAGAAGAAGCACCGGCUAACUACGUG